Molecule: unclassified non-coding RNA, 388 nt
Filed under: fungal sp.
Lineage: Eukaryota; Fungi
Description: partial internal transcribed spacer region
Rfam family: Eukaryotic small subunit ribosomal RNA (bases 1-46)
Source: RNAcentral
AAGUCGUAACAAGGUUUCCGUAGGUGAACCUGCGGAAGGAUCAUUAUGAAUUUGAAUGUGUGCUGCUUCAUUUAGGUGGAGUAUGUGCUAUUCUUCUUCUGUGAACUGGUACAUGUUAUUGAAGCCUUUUUUGGGUUUGGCUUCAUUACCUAGUGCGAUUUGGGUUUAUUUGUAGUCUUUUUUUUAUUCCAUUAGUGUUGAUUUGUCGACUAUUGCGCCUAUUGUUGAUGGCAGAUCUUCUUUGAGACUUUCUCUGUGCUUUUUUGGGCUGGCACUUUUUGUUUGGGUGGAAAAAGUCUUUUGAGGGAUUUGGAAUCAAUAAUAUGCAGUGGAAGGUAAAUGAAUGCUUAAACCGAGACAACUUUCAGCAAUGGAUCUCUUGGCUCUU